RNAcentral lists this ribosomal RNA (250 nucleotides) under uncultured bacterium. RNAcentral's name for it is "partial 16S ribosomal RNA". It matches the Rfam family "Bacterial small subunit ribosomal RNA", at positions 528 to 776 of the family's 1533-position model. The record is from RNAcentral.
CACGGGGGGAGCGUUGUCCGGAUUUAUUGGGCGUAAAGAGCUCGUAGGCGGUUUGGCAAGUCGGGUGUGAAAACUCCGGGCUCAACUCGGAGACGCCACUCGAUACUGCCAUGACUCGAGUCCGGUAGGGGAGUGCGGAAUUCCUGGUGUAGCGGUGAAAUGCGCAGAUAUCAGGAGGAACACCGGUGGCGAAGGCGGCACUCUGGGCCGGUACUGACGCUGAGGAGCGAAAGCGUGGGGAGCGAACAGG